This 774-nucleotide ribosomal RNA is filed under the name uncultured Neocallimastigales. Its description in RNAcentral is "partial large subunit ribosomal RNA". It matches the Rfam family "Eukaryotic large subunit ribosomal RNA", at positions 18 to 616 of the family's 3401-position model. Lineage: Eukaryota; Fungi; Neocallimastigomycota; Neocallimastigomycetes; Neocallimastigales. The record is from RNAcentral.
UCAGACGAUGCGUCAUGCAUAUCAAUAAGCGGAGGAAAAGAAACUAACAAGGAUUCCCCUAGUAACGGCGAGUGAAGCGGGAAGAGCUCAAAUUUGAAAUCUUAAAGGGUUUCCCUUUACGAAUUGUAGUUUAAAGAAGUGUUUUCUGUUGAGGUUUUGGUAAAAGUUCUUUGGAAUAGGACAUCAUAGAGGGUGAGAAUCCCGUAUUUGACCUUUACUUUCAACUUUGUGAUACACUUUCAAAGAGUCGGAUUGUUUGGGAAUGCAGUCCAAAAUGGGUGGUAAAUUUCAUCUAAAGCUAAAUAUUGGCGAGAGACCGAUAGCGAACAAGUACCGUGAGGGAAAGAUGAAAAGAACUUUGAAAAGAGAGUUAGACAGUACGUGAAAUUGUCAAAAGGGAAGCGUUUGACACCAGUGUUGUUCUUCUGAAAAUCAAUUAAAGAACUGUUUAUGCUAAGCUGUUUAGACUUUAUCAGCUAUCUGUUUAGUUUUGAGCUUUUCUUUAAUGCACUUUUCAGUUAACAAGUCAACAUCAAUUUCUUUUGCUGUAAAAAAGCUUGAGGAAGGUGGCUUGAGAUUCGUCUUAAGUGUUUAUAGCCUCUUGCCUAUGCAGUCGGAGAGAUUGAGGUCUGCAGCGUAGAUCCUUCGGGGCUAAAUGCAUUUGUGCUAAGUUAUAGCAUUUUAUAGACAACUUGUUGACUAUGAUUUGUCUUGUAGCUUACUCGCUUAUGUUAUUUUACCUACGCUUAGGAUGUUGAGCGCAUGUCUCUCUCU